AUGUGCGGUUGGAUGCCCGUACUUAAGAUACCGUCGCCGUAGAGUGAGGGAAAAAUGAAUCUACGAACCAGGAAUUUGGGAAAUCUUUGGAAAAGCUGAUAUUAGUAAAGCAGAGCCAUUAGAGACGUUUGUAUCGCUACUCUCUCUCUCUCUCUCUCUCUCUGCUUUGUCUUCGAACGUUUCAGAAACUUCUGCAAUUUCAGUGCUGGUGGCAUUGCACCAUUCAGUGGCGCUUCGGCUACCAGUUGGGCUGAUAUAGUGGAUGCAUCAGAAUGCAACAUCCCCUCGUUCACGUCGUGAGAUUUCGGUCCCCUAUCUAAUCAACGAAAUAUUUACUCCUCACAACAUUGGCUUUGGCGUCACCAGAGAACUGGCACUGGAAGCAGUACACAAGUUAAUUGGUUCUUCUAACAGUGGAAAAGAUCCUACAACACCACUUGUUCCCCUAGAUAGAAAUGCCCAAAGGACUCGUCAUAGGAAAACAUGCUGAUCAUCUUGGAUUAUAGCGUGGGGGAUAGACACAUGGCAUGGGAGAGUAGUGGCAGAAUUAGAACUGGCACAACCAUCUUGGAUGCCAUUAAAGUAGCAGUAGGAGAUGAAACACAAGUCAUUUAUGAGUGGUGUUCAUCACCAGACACCAUUUUACGUCAACAUCUCCUUUUCCAUUGGUGUUGUAUGGCAAGCACCAUGUCUGGAGACCAUGGGUGACAACUCUGAAGUCAUCAUCCCCUUCAAUGGCACCAGCAUGAUAGAACUUGGUCACUGACAGAGUUCCACAUCAAUGAUUCUGUUAUCUUGAAGGCUCCUAGUUCCUGAGAGCCAUGAAUGUUGGAGAAAGUGGAGAGUUUGGUUGAUUCUUGGUUGACAGGGAGUGAGGUAAGGGGAGUAGUACAUGUUACCUUUUGAGAUUUAUGAAUUUUAGGGUCUUCUCCCCAUCAUGUGAUUCAGCAGUGGAUCAGAUGCCUAUGAAUAAUGGGGAUCAGUCUAGUGGUUUUGGACUCAGAACCAAGUAGCAGUAAACAUUGUCAUUUGAUUUCUAAUGAUAAUUAUUAGCUUCUUAGCUAA
This is a non-coding RNA of Nelumbo nucifera (sacred lotus), 1065 nucleotides long. The record is from RefSeq and is a predicted model, not a curated record. Lineage: Eukaryota; Viridiplantae; Streptophyta; Magnoliopsida; Proteales; Nelumbonaceae.